GAUGAACGCUGGCGGCGUGCUUAACACAUGCAAGUCGAACGGAAAGGCUCCUGCUUGCAGGGGUACUCGAGUGGCGAACGGGUGAGUAACACGUGGGUGAUCUGCCCUGCACUUCGGGAUAAGCCUGGGAAACUGGGUCUAAUACCGGAUAGGACGAUGGUUUGGAUGCCAUUGUGGAAAGUUUUUUCGGUGUGGGAUGAGCUCGCGGCCUAUCAGCUUGUUGGUGGGGUAAUGGCCUACCAAGGCGUCGACGGGUAGCCGGCCUGAGAGGGUGUACGGCCACAUUGGGACUGAGAUACGGCCCAGACUACUACGGGAGGCAGCAGUGGGGAAUAUUGCACAAUGGGCGCAAGCCUGAUGCAGCGACGCCGCGUGGGGGAUGACGGCCUUCGGGUUGUAAACUCCUUUCGCUAGGGACGAAGCGCAAGUGACGGCACCUGGAGAAGAAGCACCGGCUAACUACGUG
RNAcentral lists this ribosomal RNA (466 nucleotides) under uncultured bacterium. RNAcentral's name for it is "partial 16S ribosomal RNA". It matches the Rfam family "Bacterial small subunit ribosomal RNA", at positions 28 to 507 of the family's 1533-position model. The record is from RNAcentral.